This is an RNA transcript of Mandrillus leucophaeus (drill), 683 nucleotides long. It is a transcript of the gene named 40S ribosomal protein S3 pseudogene, with no coding region annotated. The record is from RefSeq and is a predicted model, not a curated record. The transcript has a single exon. NCBI's taxonomy places the organism in Eukaryota, Metazoa, Chordata, Mammalia, Primates, Cercopithecidae.
ACUAACCAGGACAGAAAUGAUUAUCUUAGCCACUAGAACACAGAAUGUUCUUGGUGAGAAGGGCCAGUGGAUUCGGGAACUCACUGCUGUAGUUCAGAAGACGUUUGGCUUUCCAGAGGGCAGUGUAGAGCUUUAUGCUGACAAGGUGGCCACUAGGGGUCAUGACAUUGCCCAGGCAGAGUCUCUGCGUUACAAGUUCCUAGGAGGGCUUGCUGUGAGGAGGGCCUGGCUAUGGUGUGUUGCAGUUCAUCAUGGAGAGUGGGGCUAAAGACUGUGAGGUGGUGGUGUCUGGGAAACUCCAAGGACAGAGGACUAAAUCCAUGAAGUUUGUGGGUGGCCUGAUGAUCCACAGCGGAGACCCUGUUAAUUACUACAUUGAUACUGCCGUGCGCCAUGUGUUGCUCAGAUAGGGUGUGCUGGGCAUCAAGGUGAAGAUCAAGCUGUCCUGGGACCCAACUGGUAAGAUUGGCCCUAAGAAACCCCUGCCUGACCACAUGAGCAUCAUGGAACCCAAAGAUGAGAUACUGCCCACCACCCCAUCUCAGAACAGAAGGGUGGGAAGCCAGAGCCACCUGCCAUGCCGCAGCCAGUCCCCACAGCAUAACAGGGUCUCCUUGGCAGCUGUAUUCUGGAGUCUCAAUGUUGCUCUGUAAAGACCUUUAAUAAAAUAUUGCAGAAAGACA